GAGGAACAGAGGAAACUGAAGACAUUUUACUUCCCUCUUAACACCUUUAAAUAGUUCUGAAUAAUGGACAGUAAUGUUGUUGAAUCUCUUUGUGAUUGAUUGGUUGUACCUCAGUACAUGAGCAACUUGUUCCAGUAAUGCUGUACCUGGGAGCAAGAGGCUAUGAUAAAGAAUCUUUAUCCAGGUUUGAUGUUUUUCUGCCAUGGGAUGGACUCCACAGUGGGGAGAAAGGGAAUAUGAUGCUUAAUGCUUUCUGCUGGCUGGAGGUUAACGAGGCUCCUUAUAGUUUUGCACCUGAGAAGUAUCUGGAUCUGGCAUUAUUCUACAUUAGUAUUUCAUGCACAUUCCUUACAAUUACUACAUCAAAGAGCAAGAUGACCUCUAUGCAAUAG
This 392-nucleotide long non-coding RNA is filed under the name Parus major (Great Tit). Its description in RNAcentral is "lncRNA (ENSPMJG00000010366.1)". The record is from RNAcentral. Lineage: Eukaryota; Metazoa; Chordata; Aves; Passeriformes; Paridae.